This 456-nucleotide ribosomal RNA is filed under the name uncultured bacterium. RNAcentral's name for it is "partial 16S ribosomal RNA". It matches the Rfam family "Bacterial small subunit ribosomal RNA", at positions 355 to 803 of the family's 1533-position model. The record is from RNAcentral.
UGGGGAAUAUUGCACAAUGGGCGCAAGCCUGAUGCAGCCAUGCCGCGUGUGUGAAGAAGGCCUUCGGGUUGUAAAGCACUUUCAGCGAGGAGGAAGGUGGUGAACUUAAUACGUUCAUCAAUUGACGUUACUCGCAGAAGAAGCACCGGCUAACUCCGUGCCAGCAGCCGCGGUAAUACGGAGGGUGCAAGCGUUAAUCGGAAUUACUGGGCGUAAAGCGCACGCAGGCGGUUUUGUUAAGUCAGAUGUGAAAUCCCCGGGCUCAACCUGGGAACUGCAUUUGAAACUGGCAAGCUAGAGUCUCGUAGAGGGGGGUAGAAUUCCAGGUGUAGCGGUGAAAUGCGUAGAGAUCUGGAGGAAUACCGGUGGCGAAGGCGGCCCCCUGGACGAAGACUGACGCUCAGGUGCGAAAGCGUGGGGAGCAAACAGAUUAGNUACCCUGGUAGUCCACGCUGU